CUCUCUCUCUCUCUCUUCACACUUGCAUUCCUCAUAUUUGACCAAUUAACUCCCAGCAUGUCUUUCUAUUUAUCUACGGCCCAUCUCUCUCUAUCUCCAAACUUGCAACCCUCAUAUUUUGAUCAAAUUAACCCCUUCAUAUCUAUCAUCUAUCUAUCAAUUGGUUUACAAAAAGAACGUGCAAACACAAAAGUGUCAGAAACAAGGCGUUAGUUUAACAGAUUUAAAGAAGUUAACACCACUACAACAACUAAGCCUUAAUCCCA
This 266-nucleotide unclassified non-coding RNA is filed under the name Hevea brasiliensis (rubber tree). Lineage: Eukaryota; Viridiplantae; Streptophyta; Magnoliopsida; Malpighiales; Euphorbiaceae. The record is from RNAcentral.